Molecule: ribosomal RNA, 259 nt
Filed under: uncultured prokaryote
Description: partial 16S ribosomal RNA
Rfam family: Bacterial small subunit ribosomal RNA
Source: RNAcentral
UACGUAGGUGGCGAGCGUUAUCCGGAAUUAUUGGGCGUAAAGAGCGCGCAGGUGGUUGAUUAAGUCUGAUGUGAAAGCCCACGGCUUAACCGUGGAGGGUCAUUGGAAACUGGUCGACUUGAGUGCAGAAGAGGGAAGUGGAAUUCCAUGUGUAGCGGUGAAAUGCGUAGAUAUUAGGAAGAACACCAGUGGCGAAGGCGCUUCUCUGGACUGUAACUGACGCUGAGGCUCGAAAGCAUGGGGAGCAAACAGGAUUAGA